Mytilus californianus (California mussel) is the source of this 719-nucleotide long non-coding RNA. RefSeq lists it as uncharacterized. The record is from RefSeq and is a predicted model, not a curated record. NCBI's taxonomy places the organism in Eukaryota, Metazoa, Mollusca, Bivalvia, Mytilida, Mytilidae. The transcript is spliced from 3 exons.
UUUUGUAUAUACACAAACUGUUAAAAACAUCAGUCAAGAUUAUUUUUUAAUUACAGAUAUUGAACCAUUCCAGUAUUGUACAUGAUGUAGUACCAUAGGUUCCCGAGUGUUGUGUAUACAGGACCUUUGUACCUCAUACAUGGUAGCGACUGAAUCAAAUGGAGAAUCUUCAAAGUUAAAUGCAAAGAAAGGAAAUAUGAAGAUAGCCAAUGCAUGACAUAAGGAAAAGCAGUUAUGAAUUUUUAAAUUAGUUAAUGAGAGGUCAUACAUCAGAAAAGACUUAAAGCAAAGUUUAGAGUAUGUUGAGAGAAGUUCAGAACAAGUUAUUUUGUUUGAAGAGGAAUCACAGUGGUCAAGACUUCAUCUUUGAAUAAAGUGAAUUGUAUUAGAAGUGAAGCCUUAACAGUCAUGAGACAAUAAUCAAUAUUUAAUUGUUUAUUUCAAAGACUAUGUGGAUGUAAACUGACUAGCAUUUAUAUGACUUAAAUGUGGCAUUUUUCAUAUGAAGACAUACAUGGGCAAAGAAUUGGAUGCGACAACAAUUUGUAUGCAUUUAAAGACUUGAAGAACUUGUACUGUUUUCUUCAGAUUUUAAGAGAAUUAAUGUUUAAGACCGUAAAUUCUGUGUAUGAAAUGAAGAAUGUGUGCUCAUUAAAUGAAUUAUAAAAAUGUUUUCUACCUUGAAUCUAUAAAAACAACAUAAAAGAUAGACAAAUUUC